This 111-nucleotide ribosomal RNA is filed under the name uncultured eukaryote. RNAcentral's name for it is "partial small subunit ribosomal RNA". It matches the Rfam family "Eukaryotic small subunit ribosomal RNA", at positions 1676 to 1785 of the family's 1831-position model. The record is from RNAcentral.
UCGCUACUACCGAUUGAAUGUUUUAGUGAGCCCUCUGGAUUGUUGUAUCUCGUUGGAAACUUCGAGACACUUUCGAGAAGGAGGUCAAACUUGAUCAUUUAGAGGAAGUAA